Molecule: ribosomal RNA, 497 nt
Filed under: uncultured bacterium
Lineage: Bacteria
Description: partial 16S ribosomal RNA
Rfam family: Bacterial small subunit ribosomal RNA
Source: RNAcentral
GAUGAACGCUGGCGGCGUGCCUAAUACAUGCAAGUCGAGCGAACGGACGAGAAGCUUGCUUCUCUGAUGUUAGCGGCGGACGGGUGAGUAACACGUGGAUAACCUACCUAUAAGACUGGGAUAACUUCGGGAAACCGGAGCUAAUACCGGAUGAUAUUUUGAACCGCAUGGUUCAAAAGUGAAAGACGGUGUUGCUGGCACUUAUAGAUGGAUCCGAGCUGCAUUAGCUAGUUGGUAAGGUAAAGGCUUACCAAGGGUACGAGGCAUAGCCGACCGGAGAGGGGGGUAGCCGGCAUGGGAAGGGAGACACGUACCAGACGACUAAGGGAGGCACCAGAAGGGAAUCGUCCGCAAUGGGGGAAAGCCUUGCGGAGCAGCGCGGCGUGAGUUGUGAAGGUCUUCGGAUCGUGAAACUGUGUUAUGAGGGAAGAACAUAUGUGGAAUUAACUGUGGACAUCGUGACGGUACCGAAUCAGAAAGCCACGGCUAACUACGUG